CGGGGGAAAAAAUUAUUGCUAUUAGAUGAGCCUAUAUUAGAUUAGRUAGUUGGUGRGGUAARRGCRUACCAAGRRAAUGAUCUAUAGCUGAUCUGAGAGGAUGAUCAGCCACACUGGAACUGAGAUACGGUCCAGACUCCUACGGGAGGCAGCAGUGGGGAAUAUUGGACAAUGGGCGAAAGCCUGAUCCAGCCAUGCCGCAUGAGUGAAGAAGGCCUUUGGGUUGUAAAGCUCUUUUAGUGAGGAAGAUAAUGACGGUACUCACAGAAGAAGUCCUGGCUAACUCCGUGCCAGCAGCCGCGGUAAUACGGAGAGGGCUAGCGUUAUUCGGAAUUAUUGGGCGUAAAGGGCGCGUAGGCUGRUUAAUAAGUUAAAAGUGAAAUCCCGAGGCUUAACCUUGGAAUUGCUUUUAAAACUAUURAUCUAGAGAUUGAAAGAGGAUAGAGGAAUUCCUGAUGUAGAGGURAAAUUCGUAAAUAUUAGGAGGAACACCAGUGGCGAAGGCGUCUAUCUGGUUCAAAUCUGACGCUGARGCGCGAAGGCGUGGGGAGCAAACAGGAUUAGAUACCCUGGUAGUCCACGCUGUAAACGAUGAAAUGUUAAAUAUGGGAGUUUACUUUCRRRRRUACAGCU
RNAcentral lists this ribosomal RNA (633 nucleotides) under Wolbachia endosymbiont of Sitophilus zeamais. Its description in RNAcentral is "partial 16S ribosomal RNA". It matches the Rfam family "Bacterial small subunit ribosomal RNA", at positions 197 to 853 of the family's 1533-position model. Lineage: Bacteria; Pseudomonadati; Pseudomonadota; Alphaproteobacteria; Rickettsiales; Anaplasmataceae. The record is from RNAcentral.